RNAcentral lists this ribosomal RNA (457 nucleotides) under uncultured Bacillus sp. Its description in RNAcentral is "bacterial SSU rRNA". It matches the Rfam family "Bacterial small subunit ribosomal RNA", at positions 924 to 1382 of the family's 1533-position model. The record is from RNAcentral. Lineage: Bacteria; Bacillati; Bacillota; Bacilli; Caryophanales; Bacillaceae.
CACAAGCAGUGGAGUAUGUGGUUUAAUUCGAAGCAACGCGAAGAACCUUACCAGGGCUUGACAUCCCUUGAAGCAGCUAGAGAUGGCUGUGUCCUUCGGGACAGGGAGACAGGUGGUGCAUGGUUGUCGUCAGCUCGUGUCGUGAGAUGUUGGGUUAAGUCCCGCAACGAGCGCAACCCCUACGUUUAGUUGCUAACGCGUGAAGGCGAGCACUCUAGACGAACUGCCGUUGACAAAACGGAGGAAGGUGGGGAUGACGUCAAAUCAUCAUGCCCCUUAUGUUCUGGGCUACACACGUGCUACAAUGGCCGGUACAGACGGACGCAAAGCCGCGAGGUGGAGCAAAUCCUAAAAAGCCGGUCUCAGUUCGGAUUGCAGGCUGCAAUUCGCCUGCAUGAAGUCGGAAUCGCUAGUAAUCGCAGGUCAGCAUACUGCGGUGAAUACGUUCCCGGGCCUU